AAUUUCCUGAGAUGUUCGAUAUUCCUGUUAUUUUGAACCUACAUGAUGUAAUAAGGGAAACCUAUAUUUGUGAGUGGAUGUCAGGCCGCCAUUGACAGCGGAAGGCAGAAGCUUACAUGCGGUUACCCACCUAGCUUGGCUAGGCGUCAAAAUGCAGGAGACGGCAUUUCGGGUUUACA
Molecule: non-coding RNA, 179 nt
Filed under: Clostridiales bacterium
Lineage: Bacteria; Bacillati; Bacillota; Clostridia; Eubacteriales
Description: 6S RNA
Rfam family: 6S / SsrS RNA
About the family: E. coli 6S RNA was the first non coding RNA to be sequenced, but its function was unknown until recently.
Source: RNAcentral